Molecule: ribosomal RNA, 908 nt
Filed under: Agaricus sp.
Lineage: Eukaryota; Fungi; Basidiomycota; Agaricomycetes; Agaricales; Agaricaceae
Description: LSU rRNA
Rfam family: Eukaryotic large subunit ribosomal RNA
Source: RNAcentral
GCCGGAGAGACUAACAGGAUUCCCCUAGUAACUGCGAGUGAAGCGGGAAAAGCUCAAAUUUAAAAUCUGGCAGUCUCUGGCUGUCCGAGUUGUAAUCUAGAGAAGUAAUGCCCGUGCUGGACCGUGUAUAAGUCUCCUGGGAUGGGGCGUCAUAGAGGGUGAGAAUCCCGUCUUUGACACGGACUACCAGUGCAUUGUGGUAUGCUCUCAAAGAGUCGAGUUGUUUGGGAAUGCAGCUCAAAAUGGGUGGUAAAUUCCAUCUAAAGCUAAAUAUUGGCGAGAGACCGAUAGCGAACAAGUACCGUGAGGGAAAGAUGAAAAGAACUUUGGAAAGAGAGUUAAACAGUACGUGAAAUUGCUGAAAGGGAAACGCUUGAAGUCAGUCGCGUUGGCCGGGAAUCAGCCUUGCUUCUGCACGGUGUACUUUCUGGUUGACGGGUCAGCAUCAAUUUUGACCGCUGGAAAAAGGCCUGGGGAAUGUGGCAGCUUCGGCUGUGUUAUAGCCCCUAGUCGCAUACAGUGGUUGGGAUUGAGGAACUCAGCACGCCGCAAGGCCGGGUUUCGACCACGUUCGUGCUUAGGAUGCUGGCAUAAUGGCUUUAAGCGACCCGUCUUGAAACACGGACCAAGGAGUCUAACAUGCCUGCGAGUAUUUGGGUGGAAAACCCAAGUGCGUAAUGAAAGUGAAAGUUGAGAUCCCUGUCGCGGGGAGCAUCGACGCCCGGACCAGAACUUUUGGGACGGAUCCGCGGUGGAGCAUGUAUGUUGGGACCCGAAAGAUGGUGAACUAUGCCUGAAUAGGGUGAAGCCAGAGGAAACUCUGGUGGAGGCUCGUAGCGAUUCUGACGUGCAAAUCGAUCGUCAAAUUUGGGUAUAGGGGCGAAAGACUAAUCGAACCAUCUGGGCCC